Apodospora peruviana is the source of this 93-nucleotide non-coding RNA. NCBI's taxonomy places the organism in Eukaryota, Fungi, Ascomycota, Sordariomycetes, Sordariales, Lasiosphaeriaceae. The record is from the annotation of a GenBank genome assembly.
GGGUACAUGGUCUAGUGGUAUGAUUUUCGCUUCGCAUAGUCCUCGAGAUUCGCGCCCUGUGAAAGGUCCCCGGUUCAAUCCCGGGUGUAUCCA